UAGGGAAUAUUGCGCAAUGGAGGAAACUCUGACGCAGUGACGCCGCGUGCAGGAAGAAGGUUUUCGGAUUGUAAACUGCUUUAGACAGGGAAGAAAAAAUGACAGUACCUGUAGAAUAAGCUCCGGCUAACUACGUGCCAGCAGCCGCGGUAAUACGUAGGGAGCAAGCGUUAUCCGGAUUUAUUGGGUGUAAAGGGUGCGUAGACGGGAAGACAAGUUAGUUGUGAAAUCCCUCGGCUUAACUGAGGAACUGCAACUAAAACUAUCAUUCUUGAGUGCUGGAGAGGAAAGUGGAAUUCCUAGUGUAGCGGUGAAAUGCGUAGAUAUUAGGAGGAACACCAGUGGCGAAGGCGACUUUCUGGACAGUAACUGACGUUGAGGCACGAAAGUGUGGGGUAGCAAACAGGAUUAGAUACC
Molecule: ribosomal RNA, 417 nt
Filed under: uncultured bacterium
Lineage: Bacteria
Description: bacterial SSU rRNA
Rfam family: Bacterial small subunit ribosomal RNA
Source: RNAcentral